AAGUGCACAGAUGGUAACAGCAUAAGAUAAAGUCUUUAUUUAUCGAGGGUUCACAACUCUAAUUAAAAGUAUCGUGGCUACGAAGACACGAAGAGUAAAAGUAUACAGCUGACGUUAUCUUCGUCAUUUAUUCUUCAUUUUGUGAUAGUAUUUCGGAUGAGAUGAUCAGGUCAAGAACGUCUGCACUUCACCCAACCCAAAAUCUCUUCUCAACAAAGCUUUAAAUUCGUAUACCUUUCCUUUUUUGUGUUAGGUAGGAUACAUUUUACAAGUAUUUAUAAAUUCAAUUAAGUUGUUAUCUAUUCUAGUUCAAGCAACAACUGAAAGUGCGACCACCUCGCCGAAAAAUGCUUUGCUUUCUUCUCCGCCUUCAGGAAUUCGCAGAGAGUGGCUCCUGCUGAUCGUGAUUUUAUCAGCCAGUAUCGGUGUGCUGUUCGUGUUAUGUGUUUGGUUUGUCGUGAAGAAAAAGAAGGCGUCUGCACUGUACACCAAAACGCGCAAUUCCAUUGCCUUGGAUCUAGCCGGUGGUUACUGAAGUAUCCAAAGUCUCGUUGUAGCUUAACUCCCUUUUAUGAGUAAGAUAAUAUAGAAAAAAGAGAAAACACUUAUAAAUAAAAUUUCUAAACUUCUGUCAUUUUGUGAGUUCAGGGCAAGUUGUGCGAUCACUAAUAGCCAUAAGGCGUGUAAUAUCUUAAGUCAUAUAAAACCAAAUUUAAGUCCAAAUCUUUGGUUUACAUUGCUUAGUCCGGAAGGGAUGUUUUGGUUUGGCUCGGUUGUUAAACGUUACCACGCAUCGAUUUCAUCGUGUUGAGCAAGCCCCCUUAAGCUGGAUUAUAUAAUAGUUACCCAGUUUUCGCCGAACUUGAGGCAUUUUUCCGCAAGAUUUAGGAGGAUUCAAAGCUGAAAUCGCAUUUAUUUAAACGGCGCGCGCUGGCGCUUUCCACAAAUUUCAACUUGAUUUUGACUUUUGCAACGCGAAUUUUCAUUGGCUCAUCUGUUGUCAGGUGCGCGUUUUGAUUGGCUUGUAGAAAAGAUGAUUGUCCAGAGCGUGUAUUGAGAAAAUUUAUUUGGAUCAAUAAGUAAAUAAACACAAUUUCUCUUCA
This is a long non-coding RNA of Orbicella faveolata, 1103 nucleotides long. Lineage: Eukaryota; Metazoa; Cnidaria; Anthozoa; Scleractinia; Merulinidae. The record is from RefSeq and is a predicted model, not a curated record.